Molecule: unclassified non-coding RNA, 172 nt
Filed under: uncultured Geomyces
Lineage: Eukaryota; Fungi; Ascomycota; Leotiomycetes; Myxotrichaceae
Description: sequence contains ITS1
Source: RNAcentral
CAGUAGUCACCCAGGUUGCCGCAAGGCCUCCUGGGUAACCUACCACCCUUUGUUUAGUACACUUUGUUGCUUUGGCAAGCCUGCCCUCGGGCUGCUGGCUCCGGCCGGCGAGCGCUUGCCAGAGGACCUAAACUCUGUUUGUCUAUACUGUCUGAGUACUAUAUAAUAGUUA